Small nuclear RNA from Culex quinquefasciatus (southern house mosquito), 108 nucleotides. The record is from RefSeq and is a predicted model, not a curated record. Lineage: Eukaryota; Metazoa; Arthropoda; Insecta; Diptera; Culicidae.
CUUAGCUUCGGCUAAACAUAUACUAAAAUUGGAACGAUACAGAGAAGAUUAGCAUGGCCCCUGCGCAAGGAUAACACGGAAAAUUUUGAAAAAAAAAAAAAAAGUUUU